Molecule: long non-coding RNA, 210 nt
Organism: Anguilla anguilla (European eel)
Lineage: Eukaryota; Metazoa; Chordata; Actinopteri; Anguilliformes; Anguillidae
Exons: 2
Source: RefSeq, a predicted model, not a curated record
UGAAACGGCUCUGUUAACUGUGCUGUCACGCACCCGAUUCAUUUUGAAGCGUCAGUAUCAUUUGAAACGUGCUGUAAGGUCUUGACUGAAUUGCCCGUUGUUUUAAAGUUGUGUGCUCAGAAAGCCAGGCCUUUCCAGGACACCAGAUACGCUGCUGUCAGAGGUUCCAUAAAACGGCGAUUCUCUGGAACCGAAGUGACAAGGAUCUUU